RNAcentral lists this ribosomal RNA (754 nucleotides) under uncultured bacterium. RNAcentral describes it as "bacterial SSU rRNA". It matches the Rfam family "Bacterial small subunit ribosomal RNA", at positions 10 to 748 of the family's 1533-position model. The record is from RNAcentral.
AGUUUGAUCCUGGCUCAGAUUGAACGCUGGCGGCAGGCCUAACACAUGCAAGUCGAACGGCAGCACAGAAGAGCUUGCUCUUUGGGUGGCGAGUGGCGGACGGGUGAGUAAUGUCUGGGAAACUGCCCGAUGGAGGGGGAUAACUACUGGAAACGGUGGCUAAUACCGCAUAACGUCGCAAGACCAAAGUGGGGGACCUUCGGGCCUCACACCAUCGGAUGUGCCCAGAUGGGAUUAGCUAGUAGGUGGGGUGACGGCUCACCUAGGCGACGAUCCCUAGCUGGUCUGAGAGGAUGACCAGCCACACUGGAACUGAGACACGGUCCAGACUCCUACGGGAGGCAGCAGUGGGGAAUAUUGCACAAUGGGCGCAAGCCUGAUGCAGCCAUGCCCGCGUGUAUGAAGAAGGCCUUCGGGUUGUAAAGUACUUUCAGCGGGGAGGAAGGCGACGCGGUUAAUAACCGCGUCGAUUGACGUUACCCGCAGAAGAAGCACCGGCUAACUCCGUGCCAGCAGCCGCGGUAAUACGGAGGGUGCAAGCGUUAAUCGGAAUUACUGGGCGUAAAGCGCACGCAGGCGGUCUGUCAAGUCGGAUGUGAAAUCCCCGGGCUUAACCUGGGAACUGCAUUCGAAACUGGCAGGCUAGAGUCUUUGUAAAAGGGGGGGGUAAAUUUCCAGGUGUAGCGGUGAAAUGGCGUAGAGAUCUGGAGAAUACGGGUGGGCGAAGGCGGCCUCCUGGACAAGACUGACGCUC